UAGAUCUGGCCCUUUGUCACUAACUCUGGAAAACCUGCAAAUCCCUGAUGUCUCAGUGCUGAGCCUUGAGGCUUUGACCCCAUCCUUAACUUUCUAGUGUGCUUCCUUUUCCCUCAUAUGUUCUCCUCCUUUUCCUGCUCUCUCUGUCAGCAUCCCUGUCAGUGAUAUGGUUGUUUCCUUCCUCCAGAGCACAACAAAGACUGUUUGUGACUGUUGUUCUCUGGGCAGGGAGCAUUUCCAGGCUGUCCUCUCUCACCAGGAGCAGGGGGUGCCUAUAUGGAAGGUCCCAGCACCUGUACGGUCAGAAGGCAAAAUGAGCAAAGCACUGGUGGAGGCACAGCCCGACAGUCGUCCUGAACAGACGGUGCUGAGCAGACAAAAAUCCUGCCCUCAUUCUUUGUUUCUUUUCCAAAGUUUCUGAAAUCUCUCAGAACAAAGAUGAAGCACCCAACUAAACAUUCCUCAUUGAAAGGCUCCCCAGAUCAGCUGGUGAUUUUCACUUGAAAAGAAGUAAACUUUAUCCUUAAUUCUCUGAUUGCUUUGGAAUUCCACACCCCGGUUUCUAAUUUUACACAUCAGCAGAUUGAUGCAAAUUUGACAUUUUCUGUUGGAAGAGCUCUGGUUCUCCUGCUGACACUAAAGCAUUAGCGAUGAAAGCCUGGGAUGAGGGAAGUUACUGGAACGGGCUGCCCAGGGAGGUGGUGGAGUCACCAUCCCUGGAAGUCUUCAAAAGACGUUUAGAUGUAGAGCUUAGGGAUAUGGUUUAGUGGGGACUGUUAGUAUUAGGUCAGAGGUUGGACUCGAUGAUCUUGAGGUCUCUUCCAACCUAGAAAUUCUGUGAUUCUGUGAUUCUGUGAAGUUCUGAUCAGCAUGCGAUACAUAAAACAAAGUCCUCUGCUGUUUGGUUUUGGCGGGGGGCAUGGGGUUAACGCCGGUGUCUGUGCUGAAUCAAUGUCACUACAGAGGUGCAAUUAGGGCUACAAGGUAAGGCUAUCUUCAGGAUGCUUCUGUUAUCAUUUUUAAGAAAAGGUACAUCCACAGCUGGGGGAUUUUGCUCUGCCUGUAUGACUAACUCAGUGUUUUUAUAAUGUGCUGAGGAAUUUCUAUCAACAUCUCAGAUGAAAGGGCCUGCUGCUAAUUUAAUAGCCCGAUGUGAUUCCACUGGAAAUGGGCAGCAGGUGUGCUGCCAGGUGGGAACGGGGCUGGGCUGCAGAGCUGUAAGGUGGGUCAUGGGCAGAGAACCCCACCACAUGGACGUGGCACAAACAGAGCUGUAACACGCAGCUGAAGCACUGCUGUGAAUCCUGUGUUUAAGAUUUCCUUCCUGAAUCCCUUAUCCCACCAACCUGCCCCAGUAAUUUUUAACCAAGAGUGGUAUUCUGUGCUUGGCCUGGUCCCCAAAAAACUCGAAAUGAUUUGAAGAAAAUUAAUGAGUAAACAAAGAAAGGGAGAACUUUUUCUUUCUUCUGUUUCUGACUGACCCUGCUUCCAAAGGUGAAUGCGAAGAACAAUGGCAAGAGAGCGAGUGCUGAGCGUAUUUAAAGCACAAUAAUGGGAAGUGCUGAUGACCUCCAAUUUCCAUUGAGUCCUUUUCCUUCCCCUGGCAAAAAUUAUGGCGUGUCACUGUCACUGCAUGGCUGGAUCCUGGUGCUGUGAGCCCCUUCAGUAAGUGCUUUGGAGAUGUUCGGGUUGGACAAAUUAGCAAGGCAGCGCUAUCAAACCCUGAGGCUCUUGGAGAAGAUCUGUGGGAAAUGCAAGCAGUCAGAGGCACAGAAACAGGUGGGGAAGAGGAACUAAAAGAAGCAGUGGAUGUGCAGGGGAAUCCCUAAGAGUGAGCUGGGUUUUGCCCAGCCUCUGUGCCAGGUGUGGUUUGACCAGGCGGGGCAGGAAAGGAGCUGCAGCUGGUUCUGGGGAGCCUGCAGUUGUUGGGGCACCUGAGCAGGAAGGACUUUUGGCAGCCUGGGGUCAGAGAAGCCAGCACAAGCCCUGGGGUGGGAAUGUUCAAGAGACAAAGCAGAGUUUCUAGUACAGGUGUCUGUGUGGUGGGAGCUCUUCCUCUAGAUGAGCUUCCCCUUCAGAGACUUUGGUUCUGUUAAAAUAAAGCAAAUGACUCAUUAUAGAUCUGAUAGAUAUAGAUCUGCAUGUGUGAAGGCCAAAGAAAUGUCCCAAAGCAGCUCAGCAUAGUGUGAUUUGCCUCCCUCACCCCAGUGCAGUCAUGGCUUACAUGUAUAUGCCCAGUUAUGGUAAUUUAGGCACUGACAUUGCUGGGAAUUCUGUUCCUGACAAUGGGGGGAGAGGUAAGGUCACAGCCCUCCCACGUCACCGUGAUUCGUUUUGCGUUGUGUUGCCCUUCUGCACGGUGCUAAGAGGAUGCCAUAAUUUAGGGUUCACCUAAACAGAUGUCUAAACAUAAAUAAAACAAGUCAUAAGUGCAAGAUGAUACAAGCAAAGCAUAGUUUCUGGUGAGAACCCUCUCAGAACUUUUGCUUCCCCCCCACACUUAUGCUCACACACCAUCAUUUCCAAAAAACCCUUUGCUCCUUUUCCCCUUCAAACGGAAGCACCCACUCUGGUGCUUGGGUUCCCACUCUGGGUCUGGGCUGGGGCAUCAGCUUUCUCCAGGCACAAAGACACACACACACAUCUCCAGUGUAGAUCAACAGCAUGGAAGAACUGCAGGCAGAAGUAUUUGUGAUAUAUACAUAUUACCCAUCAUGGGUAUAUGUAUAUAUAUAACUAUAUAUAUGGAUAUCUUAAGGUAAAAAUAAAAAAAAAAUUAAAGCUAGAAUGUCUCUUCAUUGAAACUUUGGCCUUUGGCCAUUGAGGCUUUGGGACCAUGUUAACUUUACCCUACGUUUGCUCAGUGUUGAGCUCACCUCUGCGUGCGGCACUGCUGGUAUUUCCAUAGUGCCAGGAAAAGGGGUUGAUGUUAUAUUUCAGUUAGUCACCCAUGCAACUUGUAUUUAUUCACUUGUCAUUUAUGUGGAAGGACGUGAAUCUGCCCGAUUUUUUUUUUCCCUAAUGCUCUGAGUAAUAUUUAUGAAGUUGUUUGUACUUCGAAACCACAAGGUGGUGAACUCAGAGAUAUAAAAAUGCAAAGAACGGUAAUCUCUAAGGAAUGAAAAUGUGAAAUCAAGUGUUGAGCAAGAUGCUUUUAAAGGAAACAAUAUAUUUUCUGAAUGAUAUUGCAUGUGAUUUUCUUGCUGUGCAGAAUAAUUCUUCAUUCACUCUUUGAAGGAAAGUAAAAAAGAAAGCUGUGUAUUUCAUCUCCUUCUCCAGCCCCUCACUUUAACAAAUGCUUAGGCAGAAUAUCAUGCCCUCAUUUUAUUUUUGAUUAUCUGUUUGUGAAAUUUUCUCCUUCCCUCUCCAGGUAGAUAAACUGCUGGCUUCCAGUUCUUUGCCAACGAGGAAGGAAUUAUGCUUUUUCUUUUUAUUUGUCUAACUGUCCUGAGUGCUUUUUGUGUUUUUUCUCAUGGUAUCACUUUCCUGGGGUGACAAAAGAGAGCAAAGCCUCAUGCCCUCGGGGAUAAAGGGGACAGGACUCAGAAUUAUUGGCAUGGUACUGAUUCUGCAUUUCUUGUUUUUAUUUUGAAAAGUCUCAAUCCAGUAAGAAUAAUUAAUAUAUGCUUGUCAAAUACACGUAUAGAUUUUUUUUUUUUUUUUUUUAUAAACUGCUAGGUGAAGUUAUACCACACUUGGUUUUGUUGAUCUCUGCAAACAAUUGUGCAGGAUCACCGAAUUUUGAGAACACCUGGAGUGGAUAAAGUAUCUAUGUACACUAUGCUGCCUGCUAGAAGCGUUGCAGCUGGAAGAAGAACUCCUCUAAGUGCUGGGGCACUGGAGCAAAGGGAAGCGUCCACCAGUCAGGAAACUAAAAAUUGCUAGCAGGGAGUCUCCUGGGAUAACAACAGCUGGAUAAGCUCGUGCAUAAAGCUGGGCACUGCUUAUCAGGGUGUUGUCAGGAAAGAGCCCUUGCUGUGAAGCAGGCUGUACCUAGAUAAAUAGAUCCCAAGUGGGAGGUUGCACAGGGAAAGAGAUGUUCCAAACAAACAGCCUUACAGCUCCAACAUGGAAAGCAGCUCCUUGGGCCUGGGGCCUAGUGGAGAUGGUGAGGAGCAAAUUGCAUAAAGGCGAGAGGAUUCGGUUCAGAGCAAUGUGCAAGGAAGCAAGCCGCAGGGUCAGAUGUACCAACGAGGAACGAAUCCCAAAGUUCAGAAGAUGAUGGAGCCACGGGGUAAAGCUGUUUGCUUGGGAAGCUCUGCUCGGGGCUGGGCUGCUGUCUGGAGAGAGGAGGAAAAAAACACCUUGCCCUUGGCUUGGAAACUCUCCAGAAAAGUUCAGUCACUGGAGGGCAGAGGAAAUGCCUGAUGAGGAACAGCUUGAUGUGCAUAAAAUACUCAGCAUCGGUGGGGGUCAGGGGAUGGGGGACAAGGCGGGGGGCUGAAAGGAGAUCUGUAUUUGGAGUACAAGUAACUAAGGGAGGCUGAUAACUGAAGGCCUUGGUUUGGAAACUACGAGGAUUUAUGCUGCAGUUAGAACGAGGAGGUUCUUGCUGGGUACUUUGCCUGUGUCGUAGCCUGGUACCCAAGUUACUGGGUGGUGGUACUGAUACACAUCCACUGAAGAAUGCUGUCUGUGGGGUGAGCUCUGCACAUUGCACAUCUACAGGGCUACAAAGGGCAGACGGGAAGGCCUGCAACGGAGUCAGCGGGAACCAGCUCCUUCCUCCUACCACUUCUGUUACCCUAAAUGCUUGUGUUUCCAAAAAACGAGUGGUCAAGCCCUGGUGACAGAGAGCCUGUAUGCUGCUUUCUGCUGCUCUGUGGCCAGCAGCAGUGACCGCUGUCCCUGGCAGGGGCGCGGACUUCCUCCAGCCCCGGGCGGCUGGGCAGAGCGGUGGCGGUGUGUUGCACUAACCUUUGAGUGCUUCAGUCAACACCAGAGCUUCCUUCCUAAGCCGCUGGGCUUAGUUAUAAAAGAUUUAGUGUCCAUCCUGUUAGGAGAAAGAGUACGCUUCUCAAAAAAAAAAAGUUAAAAUGUUAUGUGAAUGCCUCGUUUCACUGACAGAGCAUCCGAUAAAUGCUGUGGCUCGGUGUUUGUGUUAGAGCGCUUCACAGGCAUCUCUGCUCGUUCAGCAUUUCAACCAACUAACCAGAAGAUUUUUAAGGGUUACCACUGUUAAUAUAUGUUGAGCAAAGUAGAAGUGUUAUCUAGUAAUUCAAGCAUAGUCCCCCAAACCAAAAUUCAUAUUUCCCUCCCCAGCUCUGGACACUAUUUGGCUCUAGGUGCAUAUGGGUGUGCUAAGCAGCCUCUGAUGCACUGUUUCUUGUUCUUUUUUUGGCUUUGUUUCUUGUAAUCCACCUUGGUUAAAGUAUCCAGAGAGUAAUACUAAAAGAAAGCCUACUGCAAGUGCUGAAGAAGCUGCACCUUGUGGAUGACUGCUCUUACGCUCUCACUGCAGGCAUUUUGCUUAUGCAUUACCUGAGCAGGUUUUGCUCUUGGAGGUAUGGCCUGAUAGCCGCUUCCCUUGGGGAAUAUCGAGGGGCUUUAAAUAAUUUUGGGAAAUCUGAAGAGCAGUUUUUCUUGAUGAGCUUAGAAAAAAGAGCAAUAAACCGACGACAUUCAGUUCUGUGGUCUGUUGUCUGACUCAGCUGAGCCUCUUCGGCUGAGAGGGGAGGAGGUGUUUGCUUUGGCAGUGUUGCUUUCUGAACUUCAGGAGGUUUCCUAGGCCAAGAUCUUUGGUCUCACAUAGAUUGAUGGUGCAAAAAUGCUUCCUCAGCCUUUUUUUCAGCUUUCUCUGAUGUAAAAUAGUUUACAGAAAUUAGACACGUCUUAAGGAGUUUGUAUGUAAGUCCAAUAGCACUUGAGUGAGACAGGAAGAGCACAGGACGCAGCGAGCUUUAUAAUAACACAUUCCUUACCACAUGAGGUGAUUAAAAAAUGUUUGUAUGCCUGUGUAUGACAGAUCUUUCAUAAUAGGUUGCUAAUGCAAAAUGGAGGCAAAGCACAAGAUUUUUGUUUCAAAGAACGGUUAAUAGGCUAACGAUGGUGAGGUAAAUUUUAUCAUGUUAAAUACACUUCCUACGUCUUUGCAAUGUUGUCGUAUUCUGAAGCAUUUUUGCUGAGGACAGUAAUAACUUAGGAGAACUAAACUGUGAAAGCUAAUCGUUGCUUCACGUGGGUAUUUACUAUCCAGGGUGUUCAGUGAACUUGAUUGAUCUGGGCAAUGCAAAAAGGUGAGGCCACAAGCACAUAGGGAUUUUAUAGCAUCUAUAAAGUACUGUACACAGUUUUUGCUCAAUUUUAUGCUGUUAAACUAAACAUUUGGUAUCAUAUGGCACUUUAAGUACUUUGAUUUAUGGUUAGACAGAAAUUGCAUCUGUAAUAAACAUUCUAAAGUAUGAGGUUAA
Non-coding RNA from Anas platyrhynchos (mallard), 6410 nucleotides. Lineage: Eukaryota; Metazoa; Chordata; Aves; Anseriformes; Anatidae. The record is from RefSeq and is a predicted model, not a curated record.